RNAcentral lists this ribosomal RNA (846 nucleotides) under Bacillus subtilis. RNAcentral's name for it is "bacterial SSU rRNA". It matches the Rfam family "Bacterial small subunit ribosomal RNA", at positions 28 to 859 of the family's 1533-position model. Lineage: Bacteria; Bacillati; Bacillota; Bacilli; Caryophanales; Bacillaceae. The record is from RNAcentral.
UGUUAAUGCAUGGCGGGUGCUAUACAUGCAGUCGAGCGGACAGAUGGGAGCUUGCUCCCUGAUGUUAGCGGCGGACGCGUGAGUAACACGUGGGUAACCUGCCUGUAAGACUGGGAUAACUCCGGGAAACCGGGGCUAAUACCGGAUGGUUGUUUGAACCGCAUGGUUCAAACAUAAAAGGUGGCUUCGGCUACCACUUACAGAUGGACCCGCGGCGCAUUAGCUAGUUGGUGAGGUAACGGCUCACCAAGGCAACGAUGCGUAGCCGACCUGAGAGGGUGAUCGGCCACACUGGGACUGAGACACGGCCCAGACUCCUACGGGAGGCAGCAGUAGGGAAUCUUCCGCAAUGGACGAAAGUCUGACGGAGCAACGCCGCGUGAGUGAUGAAGGUUUUCGGAUCGUAAAGCUCUGUUGUUAGGGAAGAACAAGUACCGUUCGAAUAGGGCGGUACCUUGACGGUACCUAACCAGAAAGCCACGGCUAACUACGUGCCAGCAGCCGCGGUAAUACGUAGGUGGCAAGCGUUGUCCGGAAUUAUUGGGCGUAAAGGGCUCGCAGGCGGUUUCUUAAGUCUGAUGUGAAAGCCCCCGGCUCAACCGGGGAGGGUCAUUGGAAACUGGGGAACUUGAGUGCAGAAGAGGAGAGUGGAAUUCCACGUGUAGCGGUGAAAUGCGUAGAGAUGUGGAGGAACACCAGUGGCGAAGGCGACUCUCUGGUCUGUAACUGACGCUGAGGAGCGAAAGCGUGGGGAGCGAACAGGAUUAGAUACCCUGGUAGUCCACGCCGUAAACGAUGAGUGCUAAGUGUUAGGGGGUUCCGCCCCUUAGUGUUGCAGCUAACGCA